RNAcentral lists this ribosomal RNA (255 nucleotides) under uncultured bacterium. Its description in RNAcentral is "partial 16S ribosomal RNA". It matches the Rfam family "Bacterial small subunit ribosomal RNA", at positions 524 to 777 of the family's 1533-position model. The record is from RNAcentral.
UACGAAGGGUGCAAGCGUUACUCGGAAUUACUGGGCGUAAAGCGUGCGUAGGUGGUUUGUUAAGUCUGAUGUGAAAGCCCUGGGCUCAACCUGGGAAUUGCAUUGGAUACUGGCAGGCUAGAGUGCGGUAGAGGGUAGUGGAAUUCCCAGUGUAGAGGUGAAAUUCGUAGAUAUUGGGAAGAACACCGGUGGCGAAGGCGGCGACCUGGUCCUUAUACUGACGCUGAGGCGCGAAAGCGUGGGGAGCAAACAGGG